AAAUGCACAGUUUUUACUUCAAAAUGAUUUUUUCGAUCAGGAAUGCAUUAGAUAUUUACCUAAAGUGGAACUCAUGUUAGUCUCAAGACGUUGGUCUCUGACUUAAAAGGUAAAUGAUUGAACUCGAAGAGUUUCUAAUCGUACUAACUAUUUAAUUGUACAUCCAACAAUUAAAAUAACUAUGGAUUAAUGGCAAAUUCAGAGCUCAUAAACUUUAUAUCUCGACUCUGACUCCGCUUCUCCCUCUUAUUCUAUCAUCACAAAAAUUGAACAUAUCAAUACACCAUCUUUGACCUGAGUGAAGGUUGUUCUCUUUGAAUAUCUUAAACACUACCAAAUAGUUUUGGACCCAUUCUUACAGUGUUUCUACUUUCUUGUAAUUGGUGUAGUCAAGCAGACAUCAAAGGUAAGGUUUCUCAACUUCCUCUUCAUAGAUUUUUUCUAAUCUGUUCAAGUAUAAGAAAAUAUAGUUUUAAAGAUAGACAUAACCAACUUCUUGCAGUAGUUAUAUGCCUUUUUUGCUCAAGUUCAAACUAACAUUCAAAUAAUGUGGAGUAAUUGAAUUCUGCAACUUACAUUUUGCUACAAAUUUUAAAGUUCACAUUAUAGAAUUACUGUUCUUCCAUUAUAUAGCAACUGAAUUGGAAGAUGGGAAGGGGUGGAUGCUAUAAUAACAACAUGAACUACAGUGAAAAAGCCUAAAGCUUUUGGUUCAUUUUAACACAACCCCGUCGGCUAUCGCACCUUGACAUCAAUAGGAGCCAAUUCUGCUUGCUUGCACACUUCCAAGUUUUAUCUGCAAUAUUGUAUUGUAAAUGAGAAACAAAUCAAAGAGUAAGAUAGAUAAAACGAACAAAAGGAUUUGAUUAACAUAUGGUGGUGUAAGUAGUUAAUGUUUUGUGGACGGUCAUAUGUAGUUAUCUUUUAGGCGACCUGAAUGAAUAUACCUUGUCUUUGAACUCCCAAGAGUAAGUUCUAGAUCAUCUGGAACACAAUCCUCAUGGAUCCUCUCUCCUUCCCACGGCUUCACCAUCCCUGCAAUGUUGCUUCCGAAUGCAAACUCAUCAGAGAUCAUCACUUCAGCCAUGGGAACAUCAGCAUUACGAUCC
Molecule: long non-coding RNA, 1109 nt
Filed under: Solanum tuberosum (potato)
Lineage: Eukaryota; Viridiplantae; Streptophyta; Magnoliopsida; Solanales; Solanaceae
Description: long non-coding RNA (STUB_LNC007730)
Source: RNAcentral